Molecule: long non-coding RNA, 873 nt
Organism: Cyprinus carpio (common carp)
Lineage: Eukaryota; Metazoa; Chordata; Actinopteri; Cypriniformes; Cyprinidae
Source: Ensembl
GCGAUAUGAUGCAGUUCAACAUGGGAUACUGAAGCAAGAAUUGAGCAAGUAAUGAGGGAGUGUGAAGAAGAUCUGAAGCAGUGAAGGCCAGCUGUUAUUAACCACCUCUACUGGACUGCAGCUUCCGCUCCUAAUGGAGAUGCAGAUGUGAUGGAGGCCAUGUGGAAAAGCAUGGUCAGCAGUGAAUGUGAUCUAAACUUUUGCUUGUGUGGUGGGGAAGCCCAUUACUUUCCCUAAUAAUUAUGUGGGUCGUAAGCCAAUUGGCUGUCAUUAUGGGGAUAUAAAGGGCGGUAGACCUGUGCUUGAGGUCAGCGUCAUUGUCAACGUCACUAACGCGUCGCGAACGCUGUACUGUGGCUGCUUCCGGCAUCAGGUGUGGACAUUGGAGAGAGUAAGCUCCGAUUGCAUGAUUGCCUUUCCCUCGCGUAUCGUUCGAAUCAGCUGUUCUGUUUCUCGUGCGGGUCUCGCACUGCUGCUGUGGCUGCCGUUGUUGUGUGUGACUAUGCAUACAUCAGAUGCGUCAUCGGUGCUCCCCUUGAAAUAUUGAAAGUGUUGACUGCUAGUCCGGGCGCGUUUCACGUCCUGCCCACGGAUAACACUGCUGUUUUGUUUUGUGUUGAUUUUUUUUCAUAGUUUGUUUUGUUUGUCUUUAUUUAUAUUUGGUUAAAAGUGAUAUUCUCUGCUCUUCUUUGUCUUCGUAUUUUCUAUUAGUUUUCUGUGUAUUUAUUUUUAGUUGAUUCCUAUUUUCCAAAGAACCUUAUCCUCGUUCUUGGGUUUAUUUUGCAGCUCAUCAUUUUGUUGGCUGUUUGAUUAAUUGUAUAUUUUGUUAAAUGUGAUCUUUUUCUCCUUUUGUAUUUUUCUAGUUUGUAUUUU